AGGGUUUGAUCCUGGCUCAGAAUGAACGUUGGCGGCGUGGAUUAGGCAUGCAAGUCGCGCGAGAAAUCUUGGACUGAAGCUUCGGUUGAUUUCUAGGAUGGACAGCGGCGCAAGGGAGAGUAACGCGUAGUUACUUACCCCAGGGUCCGGGAUAGCCAUGGGAAACUGUGGGUAAUACCGGAUGAUAUCUCCGGAUCAAAGGUGUGAUUCCGCCCUGGGAGGGGACUGCGUCCUACUAGCUUGUUGGUGGGGUAAUGGCCUACCAAGGCUUUGAUGGGUAGCGGGCGUGAGAGCGUGGCCCGUCUCACUGGGACUGAGACACUGCACAGACACCUACGGGUGGCUGCAGUCGAGAAUCUUCGGCAAUGGGCGAAAGCCUGACCGAGCGACGCCGCGUGCGGGAUGAAGGCCUUCGGGUUGUAAACCGCUGUCAGUUGGGAGGAAAUCUGCAGGGGUUCUCCCCUGCGGUUGACCUAUCUUCAGAGGAAGACCGGGCUAAGUUCGUGCCAGCAGCCGCGGUAAGACGAACCGGUCGAACGUUAUUCGGAAUCAUUGGGCUUAAAGGGUGCGUAGGCGGUGCGGAAAGUUGGGUGUGAAAGCCCUCGGCUCAACCGAGGAAUUGCGCCCAAUACUGCCGCGCUAGAGGGAGACAGAGGUGAGCGGAACUGAUGGUGGAGCGGUGAAAUGCGUUGAUAUUAUCAGGAACACCAGUAGCGAAAGCGGCUCACUGGGUCUCUUCUGACGCUGAGGCACGAAAGCUAGGGUAGCGAACAGGAUUAGAUACCCGAGUAGUCCUGGCCGUAAACGCUGUGAGCUAGGUGUUGCGUUAGCCACGAGCUAGCGCAGUGUCGAAAGGAAGCUGUUAAGCUCACCGCCUGGGAAGUACGGUCGCAAGACUGAAACUUUAAGGAGUUGGCGGGGGAGCACCACAAGGGGUGCGGCGUGCGGUUUAAUCUAACUCAACGCAGAGAACCUUACUAGGGGCGACGGUAGGAUGAAGGCCAGCUUGAAGAGUUUGCCUGACAGACCAAGAGGUGGUGCAUGGCCGCCGUCAGCUCGUGCUGUGAAGUGUCCAGCUAAGCCUGGCAACGAGCGAGACCUGUAUCUGCAAUUGCUAGCGGGUGUUUACACGACCGAGCACUUUGCAGAGACUGCCUUGGAAACGAGGAGGAAGGUGCGGGCUACGGUAGGUCUGUAUGCCCCGAAUCCCCUAGGCUACACGCGCGCAACAAUGGUUGGGACAAUGGGAUGCAACUCCGAAAGGAGAAGCUAAACCUCUAAACCCAAUCCAAGUCCAGAUUGAGGCUUGCAACUCAGCCUCAUGACGACGGAAUCCCUAGUAAUCAGAAGUCAUCACCUUCUGGUGAAUAUGUCCCUGCUCCUUGCACACACCGCCCGUCAAAUCAACCGAGCAGGUUCUGGGUAAAAUGUAGUUUCUUGAUUACAUUGAAUCUAGGAUCAGUGAGGUGGGUUAAGUCGUCACAAGGUA
This 1489-nucleotide ribosomal RNA is filed under the name metagenome. Its description in RNAcentral is "bacterial SSU rRNA". It matches the Rfam family "Bacterial small subunit ribosomal RNA". The record is from RNAcentral.